UACGUAGGGGGCAAGCGUUGUCCGGAUUUAUUGGGCGUAAAGAGCGUGUAGGCGGUCAGGUAGGUCCGUUGUGAAAACUCGAGGCUCAACCUCGAGACGCCGAUGGAAACCAUCUGACUAGAGUCCGGAAGAGGAGAGUGGAAUUCCUGGUGUAGCGGUGAAAUGCGUAGAUAUCGUAAGGAAGACCAGUGGCGAAGGCGGGUCUCUGGACAGUUCCUGACGCUGAGGCACGAAGGUCAGGGGAGCAAACGGG
This 253-nucleotide ribosomal RNA is filed under the name uncultured bacterium. Its description in RNAcentral is "partial 16S ribosomal RNA". It matches the Rfam family "Bacterial small subunit ribosomal RNA", at positions 524 to 776 of the family's 1533-position model. The record is from RNAcentral.